Drosophila pseudoobscura is the source of this 1200-nucleotide long non-coding RNA. RefSeq lists it as uncharacterized. The transcript has 4 exons. The record is from RefSeq and is a predicted model, not a curated record. NCBI's taxonomy places the organism in Eukaryota, Metazoa, Arthropoda, Insecta, Diptera, Drosophilidae.
AUGCUUUUGCCUCGAACAACACAAACGAACUGAGAAAUGCUAGCCAGGAAAUUUGUAAGCUGCAAAUUAUAGGCAGGGCGCAGCCUACUAUUUAUCCGAUUUGAUUUUCGCCCAGGAAAAGCUGUGGAAAUAGAUGGGAAAUAUUAUUCGAUCAAAUAGGUUUUGGGUUUAGAGUCAGGGGAAUGACAUUUACUCAAGAAAAUUAUGCUUUAAGUUUAUUUUAGAGAAUUUUCCAUGUAACACAAUCUUUUCCUUUCCCUUUCUUGCAGCAUUUUUUGUUAACAAUUAUUAUAAUUAAAAGAGGACAAUGUCUUGCAAAUCAUUGACUGGCGGCAACUGCCGUCACAGCAUGGCGGACAAAUUUGCACACAACUCCAAAGGACACCAGAGCCUAAGACCACCAGCCUCCAGAGCCUCAGAGCCUUAGGACACAGUGCUUUUAGAGGCUCUGCCCCAGAGCUUGGCCUGACACUUUUCCAGCGCCAUUUGUCGCUGUCGUUCUGGUUGUCCUCAAUGUCUGGGUGCCCAUCCCCAGCGCGCUUUUCCCUUAACAGUUUUCAAUUUUCCCGCUUACUUGUAAGCGCAGCUGCCAGAGAUACUUCCGAAGGAUACCCCGCACUCCACUCCACCCCGGCGAAGAGCUUAUGUUGCUUCAGAGGAUGUGGAUUCCCAUUCCCAAGGUAAAUGUGCGGAGAAAGUGGGCUUCCCAGGGAAAAGGAUUUGAGAAAGGGCGAUAUAUCUUUCGGAGUGGGUUAGCGGUGGGCCUUUGCAGUCUUCAAUGCUAAAAAAAUCGAAUAAACCACGCGACUGAUGCAUCUGAUUCAAUUACAAGGGCAGCGCCCGAAAUUAGUAGACAUUAAUAUAACAACGGAACGCGCGCUGACCUAUUAACCCAGCGCGCCCAACCCCAACCCCAUGCCACUCAUGACGCAUCAUUAGGGGAAAAUGGCAACGAAAUUAAAGGAAAUUACCGCAAGGAAGGGUCCAAGGAGAAGAUGUGGCAAAUGAGGCACACAUUUAUUUGAAUGUAAUCCAUUAUGAAAUCGCAUAAUGAAGAGAUUAGCACACGCAUUCGCACAGCCCAGACCGCAAUUAAUAAAUGACCCGACAAAAGGACAAGCCAAAGAGAAAGGAAAGGAAAGGACCUCCUCUGUCUGCCAUUGCGUGCCAAAGAAAUCCAAUAAAUUAGGCAAACGGUAA